GGGCGUUUGGCAGAGCGGAUUAUGCACCAUGCUCAUAACGUGGUUUAGACUGGUUCAAUUCCAGUAGCGCCCA
This 73-nucleotide transfer RNA is filed under the name Nodosilinea sp. WJT8-NPBG4. RNAcentral's name for it is "tRNA-Met". It matches the Rfam family "tRNA". From Rfam's summary of the family: Transfer RNA (tRNA) molecules are approximately 80 nucleotides in length. Their secondary structure includes four short double-helical elements and three loops (D, anti-codon, and T loops). RNAcentral also lists the same sequence under 1 other name. The record is from RNAcentral. Lineage: Bacteria; Bacillati; Cyanobacteriota; Cyanophyceae; Nodosilineales; Nodosilineaceae.